This is a long non-coding RNA of Contarinia nasturtii (swede midge), 406 nucleotides long. RefSeq lists it as uncharacterized. The transcript is spliced from 3 exons. Lineage: Eukaryota; Metazoa; Arthropoda; Insecta; Diptera; Cecidomyiidae. The record is from RefSeq and is a predicted model, not a curated record.
CUCCGAUCGACGAUUGCGUUUCUACAAAAGUUAUACUAAAGAAAACUGUUAUGAUGAAUGUUUGGCGAAUUUUAUGAAGAAUUCGUGUGGAUGCGUUCCAUUUUGGAUGCCAAGGGAUAAUCAAACGAAAAUUUGUGGCUCUGCAAAAUAUGAAUGCUGCAAAGAUACUUACUUCGAAGCACAUUCUAAUAAUGGAUGGUACUUUCAUGUAGUAUGCAAAUGCAUAAAUCCCUGUAUACACAUCGUAUACGAUUUAAAAGUUGAACAAAAUCAUUUAUAUACUGAAGAAACCAGACGCUCUCAAACAAACAGCACAAACCAACACCUCACACAGUUGUCUAUAUUUUUCGAAGAAUCAUCAGUUAAGGUAGUGGAACGAAUGGAAACAUAUACGAUCACCGAUUUU